AAAUAAUGCCCUUUUGAGUAUUUCUUUAAUUUAUUUAUUAAUUUUUUAUAAUUUCAAUUUAUAUAGCAUAGCAUAAAACAAAUGCAAGAAUGGAAAUGUUGAAACAAACUACUCUAAUCACUUGUUAUGAGAAGUGCUCAUACGAUCAAUAAAAUUUUUAAUUAAUUAUAGAGCAAAUACACUUUUGGUCUUUGAGGUUUGAAGUGUUGUCAAUUUGGUCUCUAAAGUUUCAAAACAAACACUUCAGUCAUUGAAGUUUGAAAAAUAGUUCUAAAUAGUCAUUGAUGUCAUAUUAACCAUUCGUUGACUAAUAAUUAAUCACCAAAAUGAUUUGACAAAAAUAAUUAUAAUAUUAACUUUUUUUUUAAUGGUGGGCAUCCCUCUCCUCACCCUCUUCCUCAACUUCCCAUCAUUAUGCUCCAAAUUCUUUUUGUUCUCCCUAUUGUUGCUAAUGAAGACCAAAGAUGAAUUUAACCACCACUGUACAUUUUAUUUAGAUCGUACACGUCAUUUUCUUUUUCAUCACCGUACAUGGUCAACUUUGGUAACGAACGGUAGAAAUGCUCGCUAGUAUUUAUGGUUGAACUCUUAAAUAAUUUCAAAAAGAUGAAGUAAAAAAAAAAGGGUUAGAAUCUUGCAACUAAGAAUACUUUUGAAUAAAGUAAUAUGUAUGAUUCAUUUUAGAAACUAACAUGAAUAAUGAAGAGGCUAAUGGAUGGUCAAACUUCAUAUUGUCAGAAAGACAACUCAAACUGCAUCAAAAGAUAAAAAGAACUAAGCUAAUGGUUAAUAAUUUGAAGUAAAUGAGAUAAUUAGUUGAUAUACGUACAACCCAAAAGUCAUGUUCUCCACAUAUUAAGCGGUCUAAUUGUCAUGUCCCACCUCAAAUGUUACUCCUUGCGAUUAGAUGGGGACGUGCCACCUAGACACUCAUCGCGUACCUCUUCACGAGAUGACAUGUUGAGCACCUAGUAAAAAAAAAACAUCUUACUUCACUUGUUUUUUCGCGAAACCUUUGCCUCAAACUUAGACUUUCUUGAUUCAAUGAAAAUUUACAACUUUUGAUAACGCAACUCAACUUUAACUCCUAGGCGACAAUCUCAAGAGAUAAUAAUAAAAUAGCGGAAUACAUAACUACUUCUCUUUAUUAAUUUAACAUCUUUAUAAGGUUCUUACAUAUAAAUUACAUUCCUUUUUCUUACGAAACAUAAAACUAAAGUUGACUUCUGGUCCACCUUUCCUCAUCCACUGCCUAACACUACUCUUUUUGUGGAGAGAUUUUCAAGAGUAUAAGGACUCUGAUUUCAUCCUUUUCCAUGAGUUGCUAACAACAUAACUCAAGGACAUUCUUUAGGGCUUCCUUUCCCUGACUCAGAUCUUUCACACUCAACAUCUUUUAUUCCAUAACUGUGGCACGCGUCCGAUGACCUUUCUUCGAUAUAAGCUGGAGUCUUUUGCGUUAAAGAGUUAUGCGUUUUCCAACCAGCUCCUUAAACGCGAGAUAGGAUGACACAGCUUGUACACCGCACAAGUCUACACAACCAUCCUCUAUCCUCUCACUUACUUGGCUUCCAUGCCUAACUUUCAUCUCUUACUUGGCUUCAACGUCUAACAACCUCGGGAGGGAGAAAACUUAAUGUAAGGCCCACACCUAAAUUAAAGAGUUAAUAAGUAAAUUUUUUGGCUAAGUGUCCAAAUUUGGGCGUUUUGGAUGGUCUCUGCAUAAAGGUUAUGCGAGAAGGCGAUUUGAAGAAGGUUAGGCGAUAAGAAUUGGUAUCUAGGGUUGUUCGUGAGGUAAAUUACUGUAGUGUAAGUGUAACUAUGCAAUAAGAACUGGACGAGAAGAAACAAGGAAAAUUCGGAGAAAUUUUCUGUGUUAAUAGUGAUAGAACUAAGUCAUGCACAGUGGAAAAAGAAUCGAAUUUCUACCCUAAUUGCCACAAUUAACAUAUAACCAUAAACUAAUCAAAUUAGGGGUUUUAAGAAAUAUUACCUUUGAAGCUUUCAAAAGGUUUGAUAUCUUCUUACCAAUUCUAACCGAGACCACCACUAGUACUCAACUGCUAUCCUCUAGACAAAGAACCGGGUUGUGGGACCCAAUUUUGGUGUAGAAAGUAAUGGAGAUAAAAUG
This 2131-nucleotide long non-coding RNA is filed under the name Cucumis sativus (cucumber). RNAcentral describes it as "long non-coding RNA (CSAT_LNC002009)". The record is from RNAcentral. Lineage: Eukaryota; Viridiplantae; Streptophyta; Magnoliopsida; Cucurbitales; Cucurbitaceae.